Molecule: transfer RNA, 89 nt
Filed under: Methylomagnum ishizawai
Lineage: Bacteria; Pseudomonadati; Pseudomonadota; Gammaproteobacteria; Methylococcales; Methylococcaceae
Description: tRNA-Pro
Source: RNAcentral
GCCUUGUGGCCGGGCCGGGCCCGCCACAGGGCGGCGAGGCCCAAGGCGGCGAGGGCCGCCGUGCCCGGUUCCGGCACCGGCACCGGGCC